RNAcentral lists this ribosomal RNA (429 nucleotides) under Chloroflexota bacterium. Its description in RNAcentral is "Chloroflexi bacterium partial 16S ribosomal RNA". It matches the Rfam family "Bacterial small subunit ribosomal RNA", at positions 355 to 776 of the family's 1533-position model. Lineage: Bacteria; Bacillati; Chloroflexota. RNAcentral also lists the same sequence under 1 other name. The record is from RNAcentral.
UGGGGAAUAUUGCACAAUGGGCGCAAGCCUGAUGCAGCCAUGCCGCGUGUAUGAAGAAGGCCUUCGGGUUGUAAAGUACUUUCAGCGGGGAGGAAGGGAGUAAAGUUAAUACCUUUGCUCAUUGACGUUACCCGCAGAAGAAGCACCGGCUAACUCCGUGCCAGCAGCCGCGGUAAUACGGAGGGUGCAAGCGUUAAUCGGAAUUACUGGGCGUAAAGCGCACGCAGGCGGUUUGUUAAGUCAGAUGUGAAAUCCCCGGGCUCAACCUGGGAACUGCAUCUGAUACUGGCAAGCUUGAGUCUCGUAGAGGGGGGUAGAAUUCCAGGUGUAGCGGUGAAAUGCGUAGAGAUCUGGAGGAAUACCGGUGGCGAAGGCGGCCCCCUGAACGAAGACUGACGCUCAGGUGCGAAAGCGUGGGGAGCAAACAGG